RNAcentral lists this ribosomal RNA (253 nucleotides) under uncultured bacterium. RNAcentral's name for it is "partial 16S ribosomal RNA". It matches the Rfam family "Bacterial small subunit ribosomal RNA", at positions 524 to 776 of the family's 1533-position model. The record is from RNAcentral.
AACGUAGGACGCAAGCGUUAUCCGGAGUUACUGGGCGUAAAGCGCGGGCAGGCGGCUGUCUAAGUCUGAUGUGAAAGCGCCCGGCUUAACCGGGCGAGGCCAUUGGAAACUGGAGAGCUGGAGGGCAGUAGAGGCAGGCGGAAUUCCGGGUGGAGUGGUGAAAUGCGUAGAGAUCCGGAGGAACACCAGAGGCGAAGGCGGCCUGCUGGGCCGCACCUGACGCUGAGCCGCGAAAGCCAGGGGAGCGAACGGG